Molecule: ribosomal RNA, 304 nt
Filed under: uncultured bacterium
Lineage: Bacteria
Description: partial 16S ribosomal RNA
Rfam family: Bacterial small subunit ribosomal RNA
Source: RNAcentral
CAGCAGUAGCCGCGGUAAUACAGAGGAUGCAAGCGUUAUCCGGAAUUAUUGGGCGUAAAGGGCUCGCAGGCGGGUUCUUAAGUCUGAUGUGAAAGCCCCCGGCUCAACCGGGGAGGGUCAUUGGAAACUGGGAAACUUGAGUGCAGAAGAGGAGGGUGGAAUUCCACGUGUAGCGGUGAAAUGCGUAGAGAUGUGGAGGAACACCAGUGGCGAAGGCGACUCUCUGGUCUGUAACUGACGCUGAGGAGCGAAAGCGUGGGGAGCGAACAGGAUUAGAUACCCCCGUAGUCCCUGUCUCUUAUAC